UGUGGAAUUACAUGCACGCUGCGCCUUGGCUCAUCUAUAAUAGGGAGUUUGAAGACGCUGAAAGUGACAAAGUGGAUCUAAAAUUCCAUGCAUUACAGUUUUAUCUUUUAGCAAUGUAUAUUAUGAGUAUUUCUGUAAAUUGAUGUGGCUCUCUGCAAAAUCACCGGACGUUUUGGAACUACUGAUCAUAACGCGCCAAUGUAAACUGAGAUUUUUGGAUAUAUAUAUGAACUUUACCGAACAAAACAUAAUGUAUUGUGUAACAUGAAGUCCUAUGAGUGUCAUCUGAUGAAGAUUAUCAAAGGUUAGUGAUUCACUUUAUUUCUUUCUGCUUUUUGUGACUCCUCUCUUUGGCUGGAAAAAUGGUUUUGUGUUUUUCUGUGACUUGGCUCUGACCUGACAAUUGUUUGGUGUGCGUUCGUCGUAAAGCCUUUUUGAAAUCGGACACUGUGGCUGGAUUUACAACAAGGCAUCUUUAAAAUGGUGUAAAAUACUUGUAUGUUUGAGGAAUUUUAAUUAUGGGAUUUCUGUUUUGAAUUUGGCGCCCUGCAGUUUCACUGGCUGUUGACGAGGUGGGAUGCUAGCGUCCCACAUACCCUGGUGAGGUUAACUGAAAAAUGUAAAGAUCUCCUCAAUUUAAGAAAAAGGACAAUUCAAUGGAUACCAAUCAACAAAGAGGUACACAGAUGAGGAGGCAUACAAAGAUAUGUCAAUCGGUAAUGGUGUGUACCAUCCUCCUCCCUUACCACUUCAAUGAAAAUCCCAUAAGCCUCUACAUUAUGGACAAGACACUCCCUACACCGCUGAUUAAUUAAUAUAACAGGAAACCUGUUUGCUCAACAUGCAGUGCAAAAUCAUUCUGUCUAUGGAUACAGAGAACAUCAACACAUUAACAUCAACACGCCAGAGGAUAAACCCAUUGGACUGAGAAUUUACCUCAUAUUUAGAUUUCUUUAUUCUACUUUGCCACUAAAAUCAAAAU
Molecule: long non-coding RNA, 982 nt
Organism: Salvelinus fontinalis (brook trout)
Lineage: Eukaryota; Metazoa; Chordata; Actinopteri; Salmoniformes; Salmonidae
Exons: 4
Source: RefSeq, a predicted model, not a curated record